AUUGAACGCUGGCGGCAGGCCUAACACAUGCCAGUCGAGCGGAUGAAGGGAGCUUGCUCCUGGAUUCAGCGGCGGACGGGUGAGUAAUGCCUAGGAAUCUGCCUGGUAGUGGGGGAUAACGUCCGGAAACGGGCGCUAAUACCGCAUACGUCCUGAGGGAGAAAGUGGGGGAUCUUCGGACCUCACGCUAUCAGAUGAGCCUAGGUCGGAUUAGCUAGUUGGUGGGGUAAAGGCCUACCAAGGCGACGAUCCGUAACUGGUCUGAGAGGAUGACCAGUCACACUGGAACUGAGACACGGUCCAGACUCCUACGGGAGGCAGCAGUGGGGAAUAUUGGACAAUGGGCGAAAGCCUGAUCCAGCCAUGCCGCGUGUGUGAAGAAGGUCUUCGGAUUGUAAAGCACUUUAAGUUGGGAGGAAGGGCAGUAAGUUAAUACCUUGCUGUUUUGACGUUACCAGCAGAAUAAGCACCGGCUAACUUCGUG
This 484-nucleotide ribosomal RNA is filed under the name uncultured bacterium. Its description in RNAcentral is "partial 16S ribosomal RNA". It matches the Rfam family "Bacterial small subunit ribosomal RNA", at positions 30 to 507 of the family's 1533-position model. The record is from RNAcentral.